This 233-nucleotide unclassified non-coding RNA is filed under the name Erysipelothrix rhusiopathiae. RNAcentral describes it as "partial contains 16S-23S ribosomal RNA intergenic spacer and 23S ribosomal RNA". Lineage: Bacteria; Bacillati; Bacillota; Erysipelotrichia; Erysipelotrichales; Erysipelotrichaceae. The record is from RNAcentral.
CACCUCCUUUCUAAGGAGUAAUUAGAAAGACGUGAAGUUGACACCUAAAGUUUCCUGUUUAGUUUUGAGAGUCCGUUGGAAUCUCAAGAAAAAUGAUCUUUGAAAACUGAAUAACAGAAAAGAAAAAGAGAUAGACAAAGAAAUAAAUGUUAUCAACAUGAUCUUUUCGAAUAGUUGUAUAAAACUAGAUUUACAUCAAGUUAAACAAAAACAGUAACUUAAGCAAUUAAGUA